RNAcentral lists this ribosomal RNA (254 nucleotides) under uncultured bacterium. Its description in RNAcentral is "partial 16S ribosomal RNA". It matches the Rfam family "Bacterial small subunit ribosomal RNA", at positions 524 to 776 of the family's 1533-position model. The record is from RNAcentral.
UACGAAGGGGGCUAGCGUUGCUCGGAAUCACUGGGCGUAAAGGGUGCGUAGGCGGGUCUUUUAAGUCAGGGGUGAAAUCCUGGAGCUCAACUCCAGAACUGCCUUUGAUACUGAGGAUCUUGAGUUCGGGAGAGGUGAGUGGAACUGCGAGUGUAGAGGUGAAAUUCGUAGAUAUUCGCAAGAACACCAGUGGCGAAGGCGGCUGACUGGUCCGGUUCUGACGCUGAGGCGCGAAAGCGUGGGGAGCAAACAGG